GAUGAAGAACGUAGCGAAAUGCGAUACUUGGUGUGAAUUGCAGAAUCCCGUGAACCAUCGAGUCUUUGAACGCAAGUUGCGCCCGAAGCCAUUAGGCCGAGGGCACGCCUGCCUGGGCGUCACACGUCGUUGCCCCCCCAUCUACUCCUUCGGGAUUGCGGGGGGCGGAUGAUGGCCUCCCGUGCGCCUCGCCGCGCGGUUGGCAUAAAUGCCAAGUCCUCGGCGACGCACGCCACGACAAUCGGUGGUUGCGAAACCUCGGUUGCCCGUCGUGUGCGGUCGUCGCGCAUCGAGGGCUCGAAAAAAUUGCCGGGUUCCGGCUCGGCUUUCAACGCGACCCCAGGUCAGGUGGGGUUACCCGCUGAAUUUAAGCAUAUCAAUAAGCGGAGGA
This 391-nucleotide unclassified non-coding RNA is filed under the name soil metagenome. RNAcentral's name for it is "partial contains 5.8S ribosomal RNA, internal transcribed spacer 2, and large subunit ribosomal RNA". The stretch from base 1 to 122 matches the Rfam family "5.8S ribosomal RNA", at positions 35 to 154 of the family's 154-position model. The record is from RNAcentral.